AGCUCCAAUAGCGUAUAUUAAAGUUGUUGCAGUUAAAAAGCUCGUAGUUGGAUUUCGGGACGGGCCGGCCGGUCCGCCGCAAGGCGAGUCACUGACCGGGCUGUUCUUCUUGGCAAGGACUGCAUGUGCUCUUAACUGAGUGUGUGGUAGGACUUGUGACGUUUACUUUGAAAAAAUUAGAGUGUUCAAAGCAGGCCAGCGCUUGAAUACAUAAGCAUGGAAUAAUGGAAUAGGACUUUGGUUCUAUUUUGUUGGUUUCUGGAACCGAAGUAAUGAUUAAAAGGGACAGUUGGGGGCAUUCGUAUUUCGUUGUCAGAGGUGAAAUUCUUGGAUUUACGAAAGACGAACUACUGCGAAAGCAUUUGCCAAGAAUGUUUUCA
This 380-nucleotide ribosomal RNA is filed under the name marine Metazoa environmental sample. RNAcentral describes it as "SSU rRNA". It matches the Rfam family "Eukaryotic small subunit ribosomal RNA", at positions 587 to 972 of the family's 1831-position model. The record is from RNAcentral. Lineage: Eukaryota; Metazoa.